This 73-nucleotide transfer RNA is filed under the name Trypanosoma congolense IL3000. Its description in RNAcentral is "transfer RNA-Lys". It matches the Rfam family "tRNA". From Rfam's summary of the family: Transfer RNA (tRNA) molecules are approximately 80 nucleotides in length. Their secondary structure includes four short double-helical elements and three loops (D, anti-codon, and T loops). Lineage: Eukaryota; Euglenozoa; Kinetoplastea; Trypanosomatida; Trypanosomatidae. The record is from RNAcentral.
GCCUUCCUAGCUCAGUGGUAGAGCGCACGGCUUUUAACCGUGUGGUCGUGGGUUCGAUCCCCACGGGAAGGCG